AUGAACGCUAGCUACAGGCUUAACACAUGCCAGUCGAGGGGCAGCGGUAUCGAAAGCUUGCUUUCGGUAGCCGGCGACCGGCGCACGGGUGAGUAACGCGUAUCGAACCUGCCUCAUACUCGGGAAUAGCCUUGCGAAAGUAAGAUUAAUGCCCGGUGUUUUCAGAGUCCCGCAUGAGGCUUUGAACAAAGAUUUAUCGGUAUGAGAUGGCGAUGCGUCCCAUUAGCUUGUUGGCGGGGUAACGGCCCACCAAGGCAUCGAUGGGUAGGGGUUCUGAGAGGAAGGUCCCCCACAUUGGAACUGAGACACGGUCCAAACUCCUACGGGAGGCAGCAGUGAGGAAUAUUGGUCAAUGGGCGGAAGCCUGAACCAGCCAAGUAGCGUGCAGGAAGACGGCCCUCCGGGUUGUAAACUGCUUUUAGUUGGGAAUAAAACGGGGCUCGUGAGCCCCCUUGCAUGUACCAUCAGAAAAAGGACCGGCUAAUUCCGUG
RNAcentral lists this ribosomal RNA (491 nucleotides) under uncultured bacterium. Its description in RNAcentral is "partial 16S ribosomal RNA". It matches the Rfam family "Bacterial small subunit ribosomal RNA", at positions 29 to 507 of the family's 1533-position model. The record is from RNAcentral.